UUGGAGGGCAAGUCUGGUGCCAGCAGCCGCGGUAAUUCCAGCUCCAAUAGCGUAUAUUAAAGUUGUUGCAGUUAAAAAGCUCGUAGUUGAAUUUCGGGACCAAUUUGUUGGUCGUGCCUCGGUACGUACUGGUAUUAUUGGUUACUCCCUUCUGAAGAACCCCGAUGUCAUUAAUUUGGUGUCGUGGGGAAUCAGGACUGUUACUUUGAAAAAAUUAGAGUGUUUAAAGCAGGCAUACGCUUGAAUACAUUAGCAUGGAAUAAUGAAAUAGGACGUUUGAUUCUAUUUUGUUGGUUUCUAGGAUCGACGUAAUGAUUAAUAGGGAUAGUUGGGGGCAUUAGUAUUCAAUUGUCAGAGGUGAAAUUCUUGGAUUUAUUGAAGACUAACUACUGCGAAAGCAUUUGCCAAGGAUGUUUUCAUUAAUCAGGAACGAAAGUUAGGGGAUCGAAGACGAUCAGAUACCGUCGUAGUCUUAACCAUAAACUAUGCCGACUAGGGAUCGGAUGAUGUUAAUUUUUUAAUGACUCAUUCGGCGCCUUACGGGAAACCAAAGUGUUUGGGUU
This 563-nucleotide ribosomal RNA is filed under the name Glomeromycotina sp. RNAcentral's name for it is "SSU rRNA". It matches the Rfam family "Eukaryotic small subunit ribosomal RNA", at positions 548 to 1113 of the family's 1831-position model. Lineage: Eukaryota; Fungi; Glomeromycota. The record is from RNAcentral.